Cinara cedri is the source of this 942-nucleotide non-coding RNA. The record is from the annotation of a GenBank genome assembly. NCBI's taxonomy places the organism in Eukaryota, Metazoa, Arthropoda, Insecta, Hemiptera, Aphididae.
CGAUGUGAUAAACUGACAUAUCGGACAACAUAAGUGUUUCCGUUUUAUCGCGCCACGCGUGUGUCCCAUACGAUAGGUAAAAACGCCGCAAUAACCAAUAACCGAGUAGUAUGAAUUUGGCAUAACAUUGUUAGCAGAAUUUUUCGAAAAUAAAACUGCCAGUAUUAACAUUUACUUGCUGUCCAAUUGUAGGAGUCCAUAUAAAAUUGUCUUUUUCGUGUUCUGGAAUGACGUCAUUGAGAUAUAUAUUACCGUUUUCGUCUAUAUUUCGUAUUUUAUAAAUGAUAGUAUUUAUGUCAUCAUUUGGUUGUGGUUCAUCCUGUGAAUCUUUAUCGGUGUAUAAAGGUAAAUACAGAUAUUUGUAAAAUAAUUUCGUCCCGUCGUUAUGCCACCGAAUACUAUCUCGUAUGCUAUGUAAAUCAUGAGAUUCGACGUUAAUACUUAUGCGUUCUAAGAACAAAUCUAUAAUUUGCGCAUAUUUGUAAACGAAAGUAUUUAUUGUUCUGUCUUAAUGUUGUACAACCACAUUAUGAAAAUUCUCUACAGAGAACGUGUUCAAACCCCAUGGUAAUGUAGCAUAAUACGCAACUGAUAAACUCAUAUUUACGGUUUUCAUAUUUAUAUUUUUCGAUUUUAUAUCAUGCAUACGGGUGUUUUGGAAAUUUUCGGUAAGAAAAUAUUUACCUUUCAACCACUCGAAAACAUACGCUCAUUCUUUUUUAAAAUUGUUUGAUGGUAUUGUGGAUAUUCUCCAAAUAAUUCAAGUACAAAAUUUUACAAUUUUCGUCGGUUAAAUAUUUGUUUCCACUUUUUUUCAGGACCUCAAUUGUGGUUAUAAAUUUAUUUCACGUCCGAAUAGGUUUCAACGUCUCUCGUAUACAAUUAAUUUUCUCGGCUUUGAGACUCGUAUUUGCUGCAGUUCCGUGAAAUAUAUUGGUGCAA